UCCGGCUUAUCACCGGCAGUCCCCUUAGAGUGCCCAACUAAAUGAUGGCAACUAAGGGCGAGGGUUGCGCUCGUUGCGGGACUUAACCCAACACCUCACGGCACGAGCUGACGACAGCCAUGCAGCACCUGUGACUGCUCCCGACUUUACGGGUGGUUCCCCUUUCGGGCACACCCAGCUCUCACCGGGCUUCCAGACAUGUCAAGGGUAGGUAAGGUUGUUCGCGUUGCAUCGAAUUAAUCCACAUCAUCCACCGCUUGUGCGGGUCCCCGUCAAUUCCUUUGAGUUUUAAUCUUGCGACCGUACUCCCCAGGCGGGAUGCUUAAUGCGUUAGCUGCGCCACUGACAGGCAAGCCUGCCAACGGCUAGCAUCCAUCGUUUACGGCGUGGACUAC
This 395-nucleotide unclassified non-coding RNA is filed under the name uncultured Alphaproteobacteria bacterium. Its description in RNAcentral is "contains 16S-23S intergenic spacer region". The record is from RNAcentral. Lineage: Bacteria; Pseudomonadati; Pseudomonadota; Alphaproteobacteria.